This 542-nucleotide transfer RNA is filed under the name uncultured cyanobacterium. Its description in RNAcentral is "partial 16S-23S ribosomal RNA intergenic spacer". The stretch from base 212 to 284 matches the Rfam family "tRNA". The record is from RNAcentral. Lineage: Bacteria; Bacillati; Cyanobacteriota.
CAGGGAGACAACAAAAUGUUUAAUAUUAUUAUUUUGUCACCUUAGGUCGAUCGGUAUCUCACGUUCUUAAUUUAUUAAGAAUUUCAUUUCCUAAGUUUUUCUAGGUCACACCCAUUAUUUUUCCUGGGCCAUUAGCUCAGGUGGUUAGAGCGCACCCCUGAUAAGGGUGAGGUCCCUGGUUCAAGUCCAGGAUGGCCCAUAUCUCUGUGUUGGGGGUAUAGCUCAGUUGGUAGAGCGCCUGCUUUGCAAGCAGGAUGUCAGCGGUUCGAGUCCGCUUACCUCCACUGAUUACCACCUCUUCCAUAACCGGUAGAAAGGAAAUGUUUUGAGUUGUGAUCAUUAUUCUGAACGAAUCUAGCUUCCUGAUGAAAUCAUUAAGAUGCUGGACUCAUUGAAUUAAUUUCAUUGUUUUCAGAGAACCUUGACAACUGCAUAGAUUAUUUUUAAAGACAAUAAGCAUCUUUAAUGAUGCAGAUUUAUUAUUUGUGCGAAUGCAUUAAUAACAAUUCUAUUAAGCUGAUGCUUCAAUUAUUGAAGUUAUU